GACGCUAAGUAGCGUCCGUUUAAUUAGUAUACCGUCCAAAUGGCGGAUGCUACAUAAGAGGUAUAAAUUAAAAAAAAACCUCCAGUCGACCAAACUAUCAACCAGACAACCCUAACCACACCUCUCUCUUCCUCACUCUCAUCUCACAUUUUGGUGCUCUCUUUUUCUUUCAGAUCUCACGAAAUCAGGUUAUGUGUCUACUUUGCGAAACAACGUUCGGUUUCGUGCGUGGGGAGCUGCAAUUGGCUGUAGUUAUCGUGUUGAACGUUGUUGUAUCAUGAAGAAAGGCGGUGGAACCAUUGAUCUUGAACCUUGCCUCACGCAUACAUCUACAAUUGAGCCUACCUUGGCUCCGGUUGCUGUGGAGCGCUCAAUGACAACUAGAGCUGCAGCCUCGAAAUGUUCAUUACAAUGCAGAAAUGUGAGCACCUAUCGUUCAAUUGAAAGAGAAGGAACAAAAUAAAAGGGAGUAUACCACAACUGAAAAUGUCAGCCAAGACAAAGAUGAGAAUAGGUGGCUGGCCUGGUGGUGCACUACCUCGGCAUUGGCAGUGGCUCGGACUAGUAUUAGAUUAAAGUUGUUGUAUUAGAUUUUAGUUACAAUGUAAUUAUACUAUUAUAGUACUAAAUUUUAGUAUUAGAUUGUAAUUAUAUAUAUUUAAUUUAAAUAAAAUUCUCAUUUGUUUAA
This is a long non-coding RNA of Beta vulgaris subsp. vulgaris (sugar beet), 688 nucleotides long. RefSeq lists it as uncharacterized. The record is from RefSeq and is a predicted model, not a curated record. NCBI's taxonomy places the organism in Eukaryota, Viridiplantae, Streptophyta, Magnoliopsida, Caryophyllales, Amaranthaceae. The transcript is spliced from 4 exons.